GACAGAGGGUGCUAGCGUUGUUCGGAAUUACUGGGCGUAAAGGGCGCGUAGGCGGCUCGUUUAGUCGGGUGUGAAAUCCCGGGGCUCAACCCCGGAACUGCAUUCGAUACUGGCGGGCUAGAGACCGGAAGAGGUGGGUGGAAUACCCAGUGUAGAGGUGAAAUUCGUAGAUAUUCGCAAGAACACCAGUGGCGAAGGCGGCCAACUGGUCCGGUACUGACGCUGAGGUGCGAAAGCGUGGGGAGCAAACAGG
Molecule: ribosomal RNA, 253 nt
Filed under: uncultured bacterium
Lineage: Bacteria
Description: partial 16S ribosomal RNA
Rfam family: Bacterial small subunit ribosomal RNA
Source: RNAcentral